GUGGAUUAGAUACCCUGGUAGUCCACGCCGUAAACGAUGAUGACUAGCUGUCGGGGCUCUUAGAGUUUCGGUGGCGCAGCUAACGCGUUAAGUCAUCCGCCUGGGGAGUACGGCCGCAAGGUUAAAACUCAAAGAAAUUGACGGGGGCCUGCACAAGCGGUGGAGCAUGUGGUUUAAUUCGAAGCAACGCGCAGAACCUUACCAGCGUUUGACAUGGUAGGACGGUUACUGGAGACAGUUUCCUUCCCUUACGGGACCUACACACAGGUGCUGCACGGUCGUCGUCAGCU
Molecule: ribosomal RNA, 290 nt
Filed under: uncultured bacterium
Lineage: Bacteria
Description: partial 16S ribosomal RNA
Rfam family: Bacterial small subunit ribosomal RNA
Source: RNAcentral